GCCUCAUUUCCGGCGCAGCAGACGUUGAUCAAAAGUAAAUAAAAAGAUGAAAAGAGACAAAAAACCAAGACAACAACCGGUCAAACAAUGAAAUAUAGCAACAGGUACAUAUGGGAAGGCCAAUAAGCCAACAUAACAGCUUCUAUACGUAAUGAAACUCACAGCAGAAAAAUAUCAGUGAUUCUUUAAUUCAGAUGCAAGGGAUCCAUGCAAGCAAAGAACCAAGUA
RNAcentral lists this long non-coding RNA (228 nucleotides) under Phoenix dactylifera (date palm). Its description in RNAcentral is "long non-coding RNA (PDAC_LNC017562)". The record is from RNAcentral. Lineage: Eukaryota; Viridiplantae; Streptophyta; Magnoliopsida; Arecales; Arecaceae.